RNAcentral lists this transfer RNA (75 nucleotides) under Streptomyces halobius. Its description in RNAcentral is "Streptomyces sp. ST13-2-2 tRNA-Tyr". Lineage: Bacteria; Bacillati; Actinomycetota; Actinomycetes; Kitasatosporales; Streptomycetaceae. The record is from RNAcentral.
GCUCCCUUGAUCACGGAAGCAAGAUCCAACAUGCUUGUAAAGCGAAGGUCGUCGGUUCGAAUCCGACAGGGGGCU